UGGUGGAGUGAUUUGUCUGCUUAAUUGCGAUAACGAACGAGACCUUAACCUGCUAAAUAGCCAGGCUAGCUUUUGCUGGUCGCCGGCUUCUUAGAGGGACUAUCGGCUCAAGCCGAUGGAAGUUUGAGGCAAUAACA
Molecule: ribosomal RNA, 137 nt
Filed under: uncultured eukaryote
Lineage: Eukaryota
Description: partial 18S ribosomal RNA
Rfam family: Eukaryotic small subunit ribosomal RNA
Source: RNAcentral